AGGAUGAACGCUGGCGGCGUGCCUAACACAUGCAAGUCGAACGUCCUGUCUCGCAAGAGGCAGGGAGUGGCGGACGGGUGAGUACCACGUGGGUCAUCUACCGUGAGGUGAGGAAUACCGGCGAGAAAUCGCCGACAAGACCGCAUAGGCUCGAUGCAAGUCGAGCAAAGCUCUUUCGAGAGAGGGAGCGCCACACGAGGAGCCUGCGCCCGAUUAGCUAGCUGGUGGAGUAACGGUUCACCAGGGCGACGAUCGGUAGCUGGUCUGAGAGGACGAUCAGCCACACUGGGAUUGAGAACGGCCCAGACUCCUACGGGGGGCAGCAGUGAGGAAUUUUCGUCAAUGGGGGCAACCCUGAACGAGCAACGCCGCGUGCAGGAGGAAGGUCUUCGGAUCGUAAACUGCUUUUCUGUGGGAAGAGAACGGACGGUACCACGAGGAAGAACGCCCCGGACUAACGUACGUGCCAGCAGCCGCGGUAA
Molecule: ribosomal RNA, 482 nt
Filed under: uncultured bacterium
Lineage: Bacteria
Description: SSU rRNA
Rfam family: Bacterial small subunit ribosomal RNA
Source: RNAcentral